Molecule: ribosomal RNA, 409 nt
Filed under: Fusobacteriota bacterium
Lineage: Bacteria; Fusobacteriati; Fusobacteriota
Description: Fusobacteria bacterium partial 16S ribosomal RNA
Rfam family: Bacterial small subunit ribosomal RNA
Source: RNAcentral
UGGGGAAUAUUGCACAAUGGAGGGAACUCUGAUGCAGCAACGCCGCGUGCGGGAUGACGGCCUUCGGGUUGUAAACCGCUUUCAGCCAUGACGAAGCUUUUGUGACGGUAGUGGUAGAAGAAGCACCGGCUAACUACGUGCCAGCAGCCGCGGUGAUACGUAGGGUGCGAGCGUUGUCCGGAAUUAUUGGGCGUAAAGAGCUUGUAGGCGGUUUGUCGUGUCGAUAGUGUAAACACGCAGCUUAACUGUGUGCCUGCUGUCGAUACGGGCUGACUAGAGGAGGGUAGGGGAGAAUGGAAUUCCCGGUGGAGCGGUGGAAUGCGCAGAUAUCGGGAGGAACACCAGUGGCGAAGGCGGUUCUCUGGACCUUUCCUGACGCUGAGAAGCGAAAGCGUGGGUAGCAAACAGG